This 788-nucleotide ribosomal RNA is filed under the name uncultured bacterium. RNAcentral describes it as "bacterial SSU rRNA". It matches the Rfam family "Bacterial small subunit ribosomal RNA", at positions 1 to 774 of the family's 1533-position model. The record is from RNAcentral.
AGGGGUUUGAUCAUGGCUCAGGACGAACGCUGGCGGCGUGCCUAACACAUGCAAGUCGAGCGAGAAAGCUCCUUCGGGGGUUAGUAAAGCGGCGGACGGGUGAGUAACACGUGAGCGAUCUACCCAAGGGUGGGGGACAACUCAGGGAAACUUGAGCUAAUACCGCGUACAGCGCCGGCUUGGAAGCCUGGCGUGAAAGCUGGCCUCUACUUGUAAGCUAGCGCCCUUGGAUGAGCUCGCGGCCUAUCAGCUUGUUGGUGGGGUAAUGGCCUACCAAGGCGAUGACGGGUAGCUGGCGUGAGAGCGCGACCAGCCACACUGGGACUGAGACACGGCCCAGACUCCUACGGGAGGCAGCAGUGGGGAAUAUUGCGCAAUGGGCGAAAGCCUGACGCAGCGACGCCGCGUGGGGGAGGAAGGCCUCAGGGUUGUAAACCCCUGUCAGGUGGGACGAAACCCGUAGUGUCUAAUAGGCAUUACGACUGACGGUACCACCAGAGGAAGCUCCGGCUAACUCCGUGCCAGCAGCCGCGGUAAUACGGGGGGAGCAAGCGUUGUUCGGAAUUACUGGGCGUAAAGGGCGCGUAGGCGGCCAGGUCAGUCGCAUGUGAAAGGCCGGGGCUCAACCCCGAGCACUGCAUGCGAUACUGCUUGGCUCGAGAGAGGUAGGGGCGAGUGGAAUUCCCGGUGUAGCGGUGGAAUGCGUAGAUAUCGGGAGGAACACCUGUGGCGAAGGCGGCUCGCUGGACNUUUCUGACGCUGAAGCGCGAAAGCGUGGGUAGCAAACA